AACCGGAUGCGCUGUUAUCACCUAGAUUAGUCAUACUAAUCGUGGAGUGACCUCAGUCGAUGUAGUCGUACAAGCCGAUGCUAGAAGAGGUACGCAGUGCAAUCCCUCGAAUGGCACCAGGAAGUAGAUGAAGUCCCUCCUCAAUUACUCAUGUGGGACUAAUCACAUAACUCCCUAGCAUUUAUUAGUGGGCGUUAAUUCUUUUAAUUGAAUUAUUGAAUAAUUGGGCCAACCCUGUAUAUUCCAACACCUAAUAGGUAUAGUUAGGUCUUGCAAUCUGACCUGAAACUGUCCAACUGCUGGCUAAAUGCCAUGAUGCUAAUAGAGUCCAACUGCCGUCUUGCAAAUCGGUGAUGGGUUCAUAAAUAAUUUCAGGGAGAUAUAGGUGGCCUUUUAGUUUGAUGCAAAUCUCAUAUGAACACAUCCUCUGUGCUUGUCUCGGAAAGUGGGGCCCCGAGUUAUCCUGUUCAUCUUGAAGGUCGUCUUGCUGGGCGUCAGUGUCUGCCAGCCUGGAAAAACCACAAAAUUGCAUCUUACAGCAACUGUAGUCAUCUCUCGUAGGUCGUAGUCCUUGUUACAUGGCACAUGCUAGGUUUGAGAGUCGAGAUCGUAUAGGCUCAUCAUAUCCAAUUCAAAAUAUUUCUGCGAUUUUAUAUGGGGAGGGAUUAAAAACAAACCAAACCUACCUGUUAACAUUGAUAGUUGAAAGUUUUUUUAGAAUGUUAUGCCAAUAGGAAACUCCAAAAUAAGAUGAUAUAGCGAGCCGUGAUAGGAAGAGGUGAAGAGCCUAGCUCAACUGUGUUGGGUGGGAGGACUGGCUGCGUAUCCUAACUGCUCACCACUCAUGUUGAAAUCCUAAAAUACUCCUUUAACUCGAAUUUGAAUUCUUAUUUCCUUUCUUAAUGAAAAAACCACAUAUUAUCUUAGGUUGGAUCUCAUUUUUAAGAUGAUAUGACAAUCACCAAUAUACUAAAACAUUGAUGUGAAAAACAUAGGAAUCUACUAGAGGAGCGGAUCCAGCGUGGGAGCUGGAGCCCCACUACUCACAUGCAGCUCAUGGAGCGCUCCUAAAGCAAAAUGAGGAGAGCCCCCCUACUCCCCUGCCCACCACAAAAAAAAAAUUCAGCCAUGGGCCGAUGAAAAGGAGGAAGAAGAAAAUGGGGAGAAAGAAGAUGGGAAAGGGAGGAGGAAGGAAGAAGAAGGAGAUUCGCAAAAAAAAAGGAAGAAGGAGGGAAAACUCAGCCCCCAAUACGAAGUUAUGGAUCUGUCCCCUGCUCUUGGUAUUUGACCAUAUGAUUAAGGUUUGUCACCCUUGACUUGUCCAAAACAUAAGCAUAUGUGAUUGGAAUUUUUCUUUAGCACACUGCAAGUUCAUUUCCUGUAGGGAUUAUUUGUGCUCUAUAGAAGUCAUGAAAUCACUAAAUCCUAGGUACCAAUGGAGCCUCAGCAUCGUGCUAAUUGAUGCAAGAGUGUAACUAUCAAAAGUCCCCGUCCCCCGUGUCACCUCUCUCAGGUGGCACGGGCGGAUCUCCGCCGCCGCCUCACUAGGCCUCAUCUCCUCCCGCCCCAUGGCCUCGCUGCCACUAGAGAGACUCGUCGGAAGCCCGUAGAGGCUCGAGGAGGGCGGUGGUGAGGAGUCUCACC
RNAcentral lists this long non-coding RNA (1644 nucleotides) under Setaria viridis. RNAcentral describes it as "long non-coding RNA (SVIR_LNC007018)". Lineage: Eukaryota; Viridiplantae; Streptophyta; Magnoliopsida; Poales; Poaceae. The record is from RNAcentral.